CAAAAUGGUAGCGGGCUCGGGGCGUGUAACAUACCAGAUUUUGGUAUAAAAAUAAAAAUAAAUAAAAAUAGUGUGAGAAACUAUUUUUAUUGGAUUUGUAGAAGUAAAACAUAAGUCAGAAGUGACUUGUGCUGAAAUCGGAAUGAAAACAGAAGAUCUAGAAUUUUCUGUUGGAAACGGGACAGAUAAAUAAGCAGAAAAUGCAUAGUCUCAGAAAAUUUUGAAAAUUGGCAGAGAUGUCAGAAAUAUUUUUAUGAGGCUAGAUUUAAGGUUUCAUAUUUUUCUGACACCCGUAGAGUGAGAAAUAAAAUCCGAAAGCUAUCUGAUAAAGAUUGCAGUUCGGUACAGUUUUCAGUGACCAAACGGGGUCGAAACUGAACCAGUGAUCGUCAGCUUGUUAAGUUAAGUAAAACCGAACAUGACUGUCAAGUUUGAGCUCAAACGGACAUUCAGGGAGCUCCGGCGAAAGUUAUCAGAUUUCAAGCUGCCCGGGAGUGAAUAGUGUCUUGGGGGUAUUAUUAAGAAGC
RNAcentral lists this long non-coding RNA (527 nucleotides) under Ananas comosus (pineapple). Its description in RNAcentral is "long non-coding RNA (ACOM_LNC044310)". Lineage: Eukaryota; Viridiplantae; Streptophyta; Magnoliopsida; Poales; Bromeliaceae. The record is from RNAcentral.